Molecule: transfer RNA, 72 nt
Filed under: Camelus ferus (Wild Bactrian camel)
Lineage: Eukaryota; Metazoa; Chordata; Mammalia; Artiodactyla; Camelidae
Rfam family: tRNA
About the family: Transfer RNA (tRNA) molecules are approximately 80 nucleotides in length. Their secondary structure includes four short double-helical elements and three loops (D, anti-codon, and T loops). Further hydrogen bonds mediate the characteristic L-shaped molecular structure. tRNAs have two regions of fundamental functional importance: the anti-codon, which is responsible for specific mRNA codon recognition, and the 3' end, to which the tRNAs corresponding amino acid is attached (by aminoacyl-tRNA synthetases). tRNAs cope with the degeneracy of the genetic code in two manners: having more than one tRNA (with a specific anti-codon) for a particular amino acid; and 'wobble' base-pairing, i.e. permitting non-standard base-pairing at the 3rd anti-codon position.
Source: Rfam by way of RNAcentral
GAGGGUAUAGCUCAGUGGUAAAGUAUAUGCUUAGCAUGCAUGAGGUUCUGGGUUUGAUCCCCAGCAACUCCA